ACGGGAGGCAGCAGUGGGGAAUAUUGCACAAUGGGCGCAAGCCUGAUGCAGCGAUGCCGCGUGAGGGAAGAAGGUUUUCGGAUUGUAAACCUCUGUCAACAGGGACGAAAAUGACGGUACCUGUGAAGGAAGCUCCGGCUAACUACGUGCCAGCAGCCGCGGUAAUACGUAUGGAGCAAGCGUUAUCCGGAUUUACUGGGUGUAAAGGGAGCGUAGACGGUUUGCCAAGUCUGAUGUGAAAGGUGGGGGCUCAACCCCCAAACUGCAUUGGAAACUGGUAGACUAGAGUGUCGGAGAGGUAAGUGGAAUUCCUAGUGUAGCGGUGAAAUGCGUAGAUAUUAGGAGGAACACCAGUGGCGAAGGCGGCUUACUGGACGAUAACUGACGUUGAGGCUCGAAAGCGUGGGGAGCAAACAGGAUUAGAUACCCUGGUA
Molecule: ribosomal RNA, 434 nt
Filed under: uncultured Lachnospiraceae bacterium
Lineage: Bacteria; Bacillati; Bacillota; Clostridia; Lachnospirales; Lachnospiraceae
Description: partial 16S ribosomal RNA
Rfam family: Bacterial small subunit ribosomal RNA
Source: RNAcentral